RNAcentral lists this ribosomal RNA (459 nucleotides) under uncultured bacterium. RNAcentral describes it as "partial 16S ribosomal RNA". It matches the Rfam family "Bacterial small subunit ribosomal RNA", at positions 338 to 795 of the family's 1533-position model. The record is from RNAcentral.
CCUACGGGUGGCAGCAGUGAGGAAUAUUGGUCAAUGGCCGAGAGGCUGAACCAGCCAAGUCGCGUGAGGGAAGACGGCCCUACGGGUUGUAAACCUCUUUUGUCGGGGAGCAAAGAGAGUCACGUGUGACUCAUUGAGAGUACCCGAAGAAAAGGCAUCGGCUAACUCCGUGCCAGCAGCCGCGGUAAUACGGAGGAUGCGAGCGUUAUCCGGAUUUAUUGGGUUUCAAGGGUGCGCAGGCGGAGGUGCAAGUCAGCGGUCAAAUUGCGGGGCGCAACCCCGUACUGCCGUUGAAACUGCAUCCCUUGAGUGCGCGAGAAGUAUGCGGAAUGCGUGGUGUAGCGGUGAAAUGCGUAGAUAUUAGGAGGAACGCCAGUGGCGAAGGCGGCUUACUGGACUGUAACUGACGUUGAGGCUCGAAAGCGUGGGGAGCAAACAGGAGUAGAUACCCUGGUAGUC